Molecule: ribosomal RNA, 494 nt
Filed under: marine sediment bacterium ISA-1188
Lineage: Bacteria
Description: bacterial SSU rRNA
Rfam family: Bacterial small subunit ribosomal RNA
Source: RNAcentral
UGGCGGCAGGCCUAACACAUGCAAGUCGAGCGGUAGCACAGAGAAGCUUGCUUCUUGGGUGACGAGCGGCGGACGGGUGAGUAACGCGUGGGAAUCUACCUGGUAGUGGGGGACAACAGUCGGAAACGACUGCUAAUACCGCAUACGCCCUUCGGGGGAAAGUGGGGGAUCUUCGGACCUCACGCUAUCAGAUGAGCCCGCGUCGGAUUAGCUUGUUGGUGAGGUAAAGGCUCACCAAGGCGAUGAUCCGUAGCUGGUCUGAGAGGAUGACCAGCCACACUGGGACUGAGACACGGCCCAGACUCCUACGGGAGGCAGCAGUGGGGAAUAUUGGACAAUGGGGGCAACCCUGAUCCAGCCAUGCCGCGUGUGUGAAGAAGGCCUUCGGGUUGUAAAGCACUUUCAGCUGUGAGGAAAGGCGAGUGGUUAAUACCCGCUUGCUGUGACGUUAACAGCAGAAGAAGGACCGGCUAACUCCGUGCCAGCAGCCGCGG